Molecule: ribosomal RNA, 422 nt
Filed under: uncultured bacterium
Lineage: Bacteria
Description: bacterial SSU rRNA
Rfam family: Bacterial small subunit ribosomal RNA
Source: RNAcentral
GAAUCUUCCGCAAUGGGCGCAAGCCUGACGGAGCGACACCGCGUGCAGGAUGAAGGCCUUCGGGUUGUAAACUGCUGUCACGCUCUAGGAAUGACACGUCGUUAACGGCGGCGUGUUUGACUAAGGCGAAAGGAAGCCCCGGCUAACUCUGUGCCAGCAGCCGCGGUAAGACAGAGGGUGCAAACGUUGUUCGGAAUCACUGGGCAUAAAGAGCACGUAGGCGGUUCGCAAAGUCGUGCGUGAAAUCCCUCGGCUCAACCGAGGAAUCGCGCACGAUACUGGCGAGCUAGAGAUCGGUAGGGGUGAGUGGAACUCCAGGUGGAGCGGUGAAAUGCGUAGAUAUCUGGAGGAACACCGGUGGCGAAAGCGGCUCACUGGACCGACACUGACGCUGAGGUGCGAAAGCUAGGGUAGCAAACGGG